AAUAGCACUUAGCUCAUCUUGCAGACAUGAAUUCAAGGGUUGAAGUAGACUGGUUUUUUUCUCUAGUUCUCACAUACAUAUGGGGUGUAAGCCAAUCAUGUCCGCUACUUCUACUAUAUAUGCAUCUUUAUAGCUCACAAAAAUAAAGAAAAAUACAUUUAGAACCAGAUAAAUAAAGGAUAGCCCUACCACUUCAAGCUAGACUUGUGUUUGCAUGGUUUCCUCUGUCUUAAGGAGGAAAAAUGUUUGGAAUCUUAUUUAGUGAAGAUCGACGGUUACUGGUUGAAAAGAUGGCGAAGAGUUUCCUGUAGUACUAUGAAUCUCAUAAAAAAAUGAAAGCAGAGAGAAAUAUGUAGAAAUCUUCCCCGGCUUCCCACUGGUUGGUAGUUUAUUUUGUUUAUUGGAAACAGCCUCUCUAUCUCUAUGCGGGAAGGAUUAGGUUUGUGUACACACUAUCAUCUCCGAACCUCACCUGUGGGACUAUACUGUGUAUGUCGUUGUUGUUGUUAUAUUGAAGAAAAAUUAGCAUAUCUUAAAAGAGAAAAAAAGGAAGUACAUUUACAAAAGGUCUCAUAAUGCUUUGGCUCUACGAUGCCCCUAGGCUGGAACGCUAAUACAAUUAGCUUUUUAUAAUUCCCAACAAUUGAAACCGAAAUUUUACUGUUCUGUAUGGCAGGGCCUGCUGCAAUAUUUCAACCUGGUUGAGGGCUGCUUGACAAUGAUUCAAGCCCAUCAACACAAGAACAACUUCACUUAUGAUUGGAUAAUCCGUACCCGAGUUGAUGGCUACUGGAACGCCCCACUAUCACCAGAAGACUUCAUUCCCGGCGCCUACCUAGUCCCAUCUGGUUCAUCCUACAGUGGCUUAAAUGAUCGCUUUGGCAUUGGUGACUACAACACGUCUGUAGUUGCUCUUUCUCGGCUCUCCUUGAUUACUAAGCUGGAUUUAGCUGGAUAUCAUCGCCUCAACUCCGAGGGCGCAUUCCAGGCCCAACUAAAUAUCAGCAGAGUUCCCUACAUUGCUAAGCGCCUCCCAUUUUGCAUUGUAUCAGAUCGUAGCUAUGAUUUUCCACCACCCCAUUUUGGUGUUCCUGUAGCAGCACUUUCUAGUCCAGGGCCACUAAGCGGUGCUAAAUGCCGGCCUUGCACACCUUCGUGCACUGACCAAUGCGUUGAGCUCAUGAUGAACAGACUGUACAAAGGAUGGAGCUGGACCGAUUGGGCCAAUAACACCCUUCAAAUCUGUGAUGCUCAUGCUGAGUGGGAGAGUGGAUGGCAGAAAAUAUUCGACCAAGUGGCAGGUAAUAAACUCGCUGCAGCGAGACAACGAGUUGAAGAUCUAAAAAUGGAACAGUGUGUGAAAGAUUUCACAGCAAUGAUGAAGAAGGCUGCUUAUUGGGAGGCUCCUCCAGUGUCUCAAAUUUGUCACAUGGGUUUGUCAAUUGCUGCAACGCCUGCCUAACGUCAAAGAAAAUCGUCAAAUCCAUUAUAGUAUAGGGAAACGAUGUAUAGCUUUCUAGCCUACCACGCAGUUUUUUCUACAUUGCAGAGGUUUUAUAUUCAUUUUUCCUUCCUCGUGAAACAAAAAGAAUCGUAGAAAUUACCUCAGAUGUUUCUGUAGACGAUGCAGGUUUACUUAUUAUGCAUAUCUCAUGGACACUGACAAGUAAUAUUGCCUAGCUUUAUGGAGAAAGUAAUUCUGAGAAAUGCAGAAAAGCUCCUUUUUUUUUUGUACCUUAAUCUUUCUUAUUCUAAGCUGUGUGAUUUCAUUGUGCCGAGGGUCUAUUGGAAACAACCUCUAUAGGAGUAAA
RNAcentral lists this long non-coding RNA (1811 nucleotides) under Capsicum annuum. RNAcentral's name for it is "long non-coding RNA (CANN_LNC006019)". The record is from RNAcentral. Lineage: Eukaryota; Viridiplantae; Streptophyta; Magnoliopsida; Solanales; Solanaceae.